RNAcentral lists this ribosomal RNA (800 nucleotides) under Flavobacterium sp. RNAcentral describes it as "bacterial SSU rRNA". It matches the Rfam family "Bacterial small subunit ribosomal RNA", at positions 56 to 863 of the family's 1533-position model. Lineage: Bacteria; Pseudomonadati; Bacteroidota; Flavobacteriia; Flavobacteriales; Flavobacteriaceae. The record is from RNAcentral.
UGCAGUCGAGGGGUAGAAGUCUUCGGACUUUGAGACCGGCGCACGGGUGCGUAACGCGUAUGCAAUCUACCUUUUACAGAGGGAUAGCCCAGAGAAAUUUGGAUUAAUACCUCAUAGUAUAUAGACUCGGCAUCGAGAUUAUAUUAAAGUCACAACGGUAAAAGAUGAGCAUGCGUCCCAUUAGCUAGUUGGUAAGGUAACGGCUUACCAAGGCUACGAUGGGUAGGGGUCCUGAGAGGGAGAUCCCCCACACUGGUACUGAGACACGGACCAGACUCCUACGGGAGGCAGCAGUGAGGAAUAUUGGACAAUGGGCGCAAGCCUGAUCCAGCCAUGCCGCGUGCAGGAUGACGGUCCUAUGGAUUGUAAACUGCUUUUAUACGAGAAGAAACACUCCUUCGUGAAGGAAUUUGACGGUAUCGUAAGAAUAAGGAUCGGCUAACUCCGUGCCAGCAGCCGCGGUAAUACGGAGGAUCCAAGCGUUAUCCGGAAUCAUUGGGUUUAAAGGGUCCGUAGGCGGUUUGGUAAGUCAGUGGUGAAAGCCCAUCGCUCAACGGUGGAACGGCCAUUGAUACUGCCAGACUUGAAUUAUUAGGAAGUAACUAGAAUAUGUAGUGUAGCGGUGAAAUGCUUAGAGAUUACAUGGAAUACCAAUUGCGAAGGCAGGUUACUACUAAUGGAUUGACGCUGAUGGACGAAAGCGUGGGUAGCGAACAGGAUUAGAUACCCUGGUAGUCCACGCCGUAAACGAUGGAUACUAGCUGUUGGAAGCAAUUUCAGUGGCUAAGCGAAAGUGAUAA